GCGGAUGUGGCGGAACUGGCAGACGCGCUGGGCUUAGAACCCAGUACUCUUAAAAGGAGUAUGGGAGUUCAACUCUCCCCAUCCGCA
RNAcentral lists this transfer RNA (87 nucleotides) under Candidatus Omnitrophota bacterium. Its description in RNAcentral is "tRNA-Leu". It matches the Rfam family "tRNA". From Rfam's summary of the family: Transfer RNA (tRNA) molecules are approximately 80 nucleotides in length. Lineage: Bacteria; Pseudomonadati; Candidatus Omnitrophota. The record is from RNAcentral.